GGGUGAAAAGCCCGCUCGCCGGAAGACCAAGGGUUCCUGUCCAACGUUAAUCGGGGCAGGGUGAGUCGACCCCUAAGGCGAGGCCGAAAGGCGUAGUCGAUGGGAAACAGGUUAAUAUUCCUGUACUUGGUGUUACUGCGAAGGGGGGACGGAGAAGGCUAUGUUGGCCGGGCGACGGUUGUCCCGGUUUAAGCGUGUAGGCUGGUUUUCCAGGCAAAUCCGGAAAACCAAGGCUGAGGCGUGAUGACGAGGCACUACGGUGCUGAAGCGACAAAUGCCCUGCUUCCAGGAAAAGCCUCUAAGCAUCAGGUAACAUCAAAUCGUACCCCAAACCGACACAGGUGGUCAGGUAGAGAAUACCAAGGCGCUUGAGAGAACUCGGGUGAAGGAACUAGGCAAAAUGGUGCCGUAACUUCGGGAGAAGGCACGCUGAUAUGUAGGUGAAGCGACUUGCUCGUGGAGCUGAAAUCAGUCGAAGAUACCAGCUGGCUGCAACUGUUUAUUAAAAACACAGCACUGUGCAAACACGAAAGUGGACGUAUACGGUGUGACGCCUGCCCGGUGCCGGAAGGUUAAUUGAUGGGGUUAGCGGCAACGCGAAGCUCUUGAUCGAAGCCCCGGUAAACGGCGGCCGUAACUAUAACGGUCCUAAGGUAGCGAAAUUCCUUGUCGGGUAAGUUCCGACCUGCACGAAUGGCGUAAUGAUGGCCAGGCUGUCUCCACCCGAGACUCAGUGAAAUUGAACUCGCUGUGAAGAUGCAGUGUACCCGCGGCAAGACGGAAAGACCCCGUGAACCUUUACUAUAGCUUGACACUGAACAUUGAGCCUUGAUGUGUAGGAUAGGUGGGAGGCUUUGAAGUGUGGACGCCAGUCUGCAUGGAGCCGACCUUGAAAUACCACCCUUUAAUGUUUGAUGUUCUAACGUUGGCCCGUAAUCCGGGUUGCGGACAGUGUCUGGUGGGUAGUUUGACUGGGGCGGUCUCCUCCUAAAGAGUAACGGAGGAGCACGAAGGUUGGCUAAUCCUGGUCGGACAUCAGGAGGUUAGUGCAAUGGCAUAAGCCAGCUUGACUGCGAGCGUGACGGCGCGAGCAGGUGCGAAAGCAGGUCAUAGUGAUCCGGUGGUUCUGAAUGGAAGGGCCAUCGCUCAACGGAUAAAAGGUACUCCGGGGAUAACAGGCUGAUACCGCCCAAGAGUUCAUAUCGACGGCGGUGUUUGGCACCUCGAUGUCGGCUCAUCACAUCCUGGGGCUGAAGUAGGUCCCAAGGGUAUGGCUGUUCGCCAUUUAAAGUGGUACGCGAGCUGGGUUUAGAACGUCGUGAGACAGUUCGGUCCCUAUCUGCCGUGGGCGCUGGAGAACUGAGGGGGGCUGCUCCUAGUACGAGAGGACCGGAGUGGACGCAUCACUGGUGUUCGGGUUGUCAUGCCAAUGGCACUGCCCGGUAGCUAAAUGCGGAAGAGAUAAGUGCUGAAAGCAUCUAAGCACGAAACUUGC
Molecule: ribosomal RNA, 1495 nt
Filed under: Escherichia coli
Lineage: Bacteria; Pseudomonadati; Pseudomonadota; Gammaproteobacteria; Enterobacterales; Enterobacteriaceae
Description: partial 23S ribosomal RNA
Rfam family: Bacterial large subunit ribosomal RNA
Source: RNAcentral